GUAGUAGUAGUAGUAGGUCUCAAAAACACUUAUGGAACUAGAGACCAUUAGAUAACCAGAUAGAAAACAGACAAAAAAAUACCUUCUGUUUGAUUUGAAAACUGAAACCAAACCUCUGAGAACACGUAUAUAUAGGGUCUAGAAAACACCUUUGUACCUAGAAAACAUUAGAGAACCAGUAGAAAACAGCCAUAAUACACCUCCUAACUAACCGACAACCUGUUAUUACUAUUAUUACUCCUACUAUUACUACUAUUAUUAUUACUAUUAUUAUUUAAGCUCGUGGAACUCUCCCUCGUCACGAAGGUCCAGAACGUAAACAAAGCAUGUGAGUGACCGGAAACUCUUCAUAUUUUCGUUCUUUUUACCUUCAUCUUACGUUCCUCGCCCCUCCUUUGACCCUGGGAAGAAAGGGGGGACAUGAGGCUUCAAGCUGAGUGAGUGAGUGAGUCGGGGAGUGAGUGAGUGAGCCAGGAGAGGGCGAAGAGUAAGGGAGAGUGAGGGCGUGAGUCACCUGUUGCUUGGUCCUGAGUCAUCACAAAGAACCCACCGACCUGACCUGACCUGACCUGACCUGAUGCCUUCCAAGAGCCUUCAUGAUCUCUGCAGUGCCUUCCUACCGUGACCUGACCUUAAAGAUGGAGACCUUGUCCGAGGGGGGUCAGGGGGAGUCCUACGUCCUGUCCAGGACCGAGGGCUACGACUAUGAGUUUGUCCCCACCUUAGAGCAAAAAUACGAGUGUCCAAUCUGUCUACUUGCUCUGAGGGCGCCGCUGCAGACCUCCUGUGGCCAUCGCUUCUGUAAGGACUGCAUACACAACACCCUAAGCCUGAGUGAGUCCCAUCGUCGGUGCCCCAUUGACAACACGCCGCUGGGUGAGUCCGACCUCUUCCCGGACUGCUGUGCUGAGAGGGAGGUCCUGCAGCUGAAAGUCCGGUGUCCAAACUCUUCCCUCGGCUGUACCCAAAUAGUGGACCUCAUGUACAUUGAACACCACACCCAGGCCUGUAGCUACCAGCCCGUCCUGUGCCCCAAUGAGUGCUCAGCCAUGGUGCUGCAGCGAGAACUUGAGCAGCACCUGUCCUCCCAGUGCCUGCUGCGCCAGAAGCUGUGUGCCCUCUGCAACGAGCCCUACACAUGCAGCCAGGAGCAGCUCCACCUGGCAACAUGUGGACAGGUGCUGGUGGGGUGCGAGCUGUGUGGAAGCGAGGUGGUGCGCGGGGAGCUGCCGGCACAUAUGAGCGACAGCUGUCCCAAGGGUGUGGUGUCCUGCCCUUUCACGGAACACGGCUGCUGCCACAAGAUGGUGCGCGCAGACCUGGAUGACCACCUGGCGCAGUCCACACAGUACCACCUGCAUCUCCUGUCAUCCGCCCAGAAGCGCAUCACCGCCCUGGUCUGGGAGGUCAGCCGGUCAGCUGGUCUGGCGGUCUUGGGCAGCUCACCCGGUAGCCUCUCGUUCAGCCGUCAACCGAGUCUUCGAAGUCAACUGUCAACCUCAUCACCGACACCCGACAGGCAUGAUGGUGGUGGUGGUGGUGGUUUGGUGUUUCCGUCACCUCCAAAAUAUGGUGGUGGUGCAUUUGGUGGUGCGUCUGGUGGUGGUGGUGUGUUACCCUUCCCCUCACCUCCACUCAAGCUCAACACCACCACAGACAACACCACUCCGUCAAAACUCCACAUUCCGUUUUCACACCUAGCAAUGGGGCUUGAGGAGGAGGUGGAGGGAGAAACAGAGGGAAGAAAGGGAGGGAGCGGAGGGAAGGGGGGAGGGGGCACUGGAGGGGGGUCAAUCUCCCUGCCCCCCCAACAGGAAGCCAUUCUCCGCGACCUCUGCGAGAAGCGCCUUGAGGUCAGCCAAGGUCUAUUACAGGUCAAUAUCGCGUUGGCAAAUUUGCAGCGGCAGGUGGAAGGGGUGGAGGGCAGGGUGGAGAGGGCAGGGGGGGAUGCGGAGGGGCGGUUCUGCCAUGGGGUGUACGUGUGGAGGCUGCGUGGAUUUCCCAGUCUGGUGGAGGAGCUGCAGGAACGGCCGACGCGGGUUCUCCACUCACCCGCAUUUUACACAUCGCCAUUUGGGUAUAAGUUCUGUAUGCGGCUGAAUUUGACCCUUAUGGAAGCAGGAAGAGGAGGAGGAGGAGGAGGAGCACCCAGUUUAGGAAGAGGAGGAUCUACGAAUGCUAACCUUAUAGGAGGAAGAGGAGGAGAAGGAGUUGGAGGAGGAGGAGGAGGAGGAAACAGCCUAGCCCGAGGCGGAGGAGGUGGAUGGUGGCUAUCGCUCUUCAUCCACGGCAUGCGUGGCGAAAAUGACACCUUCCUGGACUGGCCAUUCGCAGGAACAAUCACCUUCGCGAUUCUCGACUGCUCGGACGCGAAGACAAAAACACACAUUUCGGAAACGCUGCAAAGUUCGCCAGACCGCCAGGCAUUCAGUAGACCCCAAGCCCAUCGCAACCCCAAGGGCUUCGGAUAUACAGAGUUCGCUUCCCUCGAUACGGUGUUGAACGGAGGUGCCGGUGGUGGUGUGUAUGUGGUAGAUGGGACGCUGUGUAUUAAGGCGUCGGUGAGUACAGGUCAACACCAGUCUCGGCACCAGCAUUCCGAAGGGUCAGGUCGCGCGGCGUGUAUCUGUCAACACCAGCAGAAGAGUGGGAGUAAGGUGUGAGUGUGUUCGUGUGUGUGUGUGUGUGUGUGUGAGUGUGAGGAUUUGUCUUAUUCUCAUAUCAGUCGAAAAGUCUUUUUAUGGAUGUUUGCUACCUGUUUUGUAUGUUUUUUUAUUGUUUUCCACUUUUCAUCUUGUUUUCUAGUGUUUUCAAGGACAAGAAGUGUUUUCAGAAGGUCGUUAGGGUUUCAAAUCAAUCAAUAGGCAUUUUAUGGGUGUUUUCUACCUGGUUUUCUAGUGUUUUUUUAUUGUUUUCUACUUUCAUAUGUUGUUUUCUAGUGUUUUGGGGACCAAGAGGUAUUGUCAAGGGUUUGUUAGGAUUUCAAAUCAGUCAAAAGGUCUUCUUAUGGCUGUUUUCUACCUGUUUUUUAUGUUAUUUUAUUGUUUUCUACUUUUUCACCUGGUUUUCUAUUGUUUUCCAGUGCUUUUGAGGCCAAGAGGUGUUUUCAGAAGGUCGUUAGGGUUUCAAAUCAAUCAAAAGGCAUUUUAUGGGUGUUUUCUACCUGGUUUUCUAGUGGUUUUUAUUUAAUGUUAUUUAUUUAUUUACUUAUUUUUGAGAUCAACAGGUAUUCUCAUAGGCUCUUAAAGUUCAUAUUAAGUGUUCUUGAAACCCCAAACGUUCUCUACAUCGAGUGUUUUUUACUCCCACAAGUUGAUCUUCAAGGUUCUCAAUCAGUUCUCAAUUAGUGUUCGACUGUUUUCUAUCUGUUAUGUUAUGUUCUUGACCCUAACUUGUUCUCAGAUUCUUCAUUAUUAGUGUUGUCCUUCCUCCAAUGAAACCAAAAUGCUCAAAGGUCUGUCCAUAUAUUAGCUAUAGUGGUGCUGGGCCAGGGAACAACUACUACAUAUACUACUACUGGGCUAUGGGUGACAGGUUAUAGGUGUAAGGAGGCUGUGGUUGUAGGGGACGUGGUUAAUGUGAAGUCUAACCCUCAGUGUCUUUGUGUAUCAGAAUCUCACAUGUUAUUUUAUUUGUUAACUGUUUUAUUUGCUAACUUUUACAGGUAUCGACACACACACACAGUUUCACCCUACCAGAGUCUCACAGGCAGUUAGUUCAUUCAUGGUUUUAUUGGUGGGGUUAAUGUGAAGUCUAACCCUCAGUGUCUUUGUGUAUCAGAAUCUCACAUGUUAUUUUAUUUGUUAACUGUUUUAUUUGCUAACUCUUACAGGUAUCGACACACACACACACACAUAGUUUCACCCUGGCAAAGUCUCACAGGCAGUUAGUUCAUUCAUGGUUUUAUUUCUUUUGUUGCAUCAUUUCUGGCUUUUUUUUUGUCUGUUCUGCAAGUUUCCCAGCCAUCUUUGUGCAAUUUCAACUCUUAAUAGAUUUGAUAUUGUACUGAAUAAUUGGAUUUCUUUACUAACAGUCUUCUUAUUUUUAUAUUCAUAUCAUAUUCUUACAGUUUCCGGUCCAUUGUACCUUGAGGUCGCCCUGGAGUGAGACAGGAAGCUUUUGGCCUUAAAUCAAACGUAGGGAGUGUUCGCAGACGUGCCUUUAUUGACGAGCUUACAGAGGGGGACUUAGUACACAGAACAGCUUACAGAGGGGGACUUAGUACACAGAACAGCUUACAGAAAAUGACUUUGCAUUGUAUUAUACUAACAUGACAGACAAUGAGACAAACUUGAUCAAUAGACAGACUUAGAUUGCAUUAGUACUGAUACUUAGAGAAGAGAGAGACAGUCUGUAUUAGUAUUGGAGAGACAGUAGAGCGAGACAGUCUGUAUUAGUAUUGGAGAGACAGUAGAGCGAGACAGUCUGUAUUAUUAUUAGAGAGACAGUAGAGCGAGACAGUCUGUAUAAGCGAGACAGCAAAGAGAGACAGCAGAGAGAGAGAGAGAGAGAGAGAGAGAGAGAGACUUCUUCUUUCUCUUCUUAUUCUUCUUUAUUCAUAGUUAAUCUUCUCUCCUCCUUCUUCUCAUGUUAAUUUUCCCUCUUCUUCUUCUUUGUCUAUAGCCUAUCUUCUUCCCUCCUCCUCCUCCUCCUCCUCUUCUAUAGUCGUCGUUCCUCUCCUUGAUCUUCCAGGUGGUCACAUCCCUGUCACCUCCACUGUCCUCGGCACUCCACCUUCUCUCUCUCUCUCUUUCUGGCACCUCCAUUUCCUCCACUCCUCAGCUCUCCACCUUCUCUCUCUCUCUCUUUCUGGCACCUUCAUUC
This is an RNA transcript of Eriocheir sinensis (Chinese mitten crab), 4824 nucleotides long. It is a transcript of the gene named TNF receptor-associated factor 6-like, with no coding region annotated. The transcript is spliced from 8 exons. NCBI's taxonomy places the organism in Eukaryota, Metazoa, Arthropoda, Malacostraca, Decapoda, Varunidae. The record is from RefSeq and is a predicted model, not a curated record.